Gallus gallus (chicken) is the source of this 1743-nucleotide long non-coding RNA. RefSeq lists it as uncharacterized. The record is from RefSeq and is a predicted model, not a curated record. NCBI's taxonomy places the organism in Eukaryota, Metazoa, Chordata, Aves, Galliformes, Phasianidae. The transcript is spliced from 2 exons.
CUCUCCGCUCCGGGCGGUGGGGCCGGGCCGCCCGAUGGCAGCGAGGGGAGGAGGCGGCGGGCGGAGGGGGAGCGCCGCAGCCCCCGGCACAGCGAUGCUCUGCGGCGCCGCACCGAACGCCCCGGGGACGGCGGUCCCUAUGGCACCGCGCUGCCUCCGCGGGGGGCUCGGGGGGCUCCGUUUUCAUCGCCUUUUCUGAGACAGAUCUGCCAUAGCAGGGUGGGCAGAAUCCAGACAACAAGAUGCCCAAGGCUGACACUUAUGCAAUGUGUAGAAACCGAGGCUGAGCGAUUCAAGUGGAGCUGGAUUUCUAAGCUGCAAUCCCCACUGCUGCCUUGCCAAGGCUUUGCACAACCGGUGGGGUUUUUCCUAUCAGCAGAACCAUCUCCUUACAAAGAGCACCAAUCCUGCCUGUAGCAAACGGAGGAAACCUCUCUGAAUUGAGUGAUGCUCUCUGAUUUACUACCCUAAUUGUGGAGCUAUUAUUACAAUGUGUGCGUCUGCACCCGCCUCCCUCCGCCACGCUGACAACUCGAGAUGUAACUCAGCGCUUUGGAGGACGCAGCGAGUCAAUACACUGCACCUACUUGUCUGAUUUACAUGCGUUUCAAUGGCUGACACCUUUGCAUUAAUAUUGUCAUUAAACCACGUGCAUAUUCCCGCUGGAUUCUUCCUGUUAUCCAAAUGGAAUUUAUACCUUUCUUAAUUGGAAAACUUACCCCAUCCUUUCUUCUGAGCUGGACCGUUCCUGUGUUGGGUGUGGGGAUGCCCGGUGAUCUGGUGCUCAGUUCCCAGCAGAAGCAGAGCUGCUCUGCAUUCAGACAACGCCUUCAGACACAGGGGUUGGAUUUUGGGUGUGGAGGCGGGAGUUGGACCUUUGUCCCCCCCAGUUUGGGAUAUUCUAUGAUGCUACGGUAUAAAGAACAAUAAAAUAUCCCUCCUCCAUCAGCCCCCCUCCAAAACCAGAAACACCAUCAGCACGUUGCAAUGUGACAAUGGCAUAUCUCCAUGGUGUCCUUCCUGGGGACACCUCCUGCAAGGCCAGUGGGGCUCUGAGGGAUGCCAGCAGUCACGCAGUGAGGAAGAACCAAGACCACGGCUUGGAUGCGUGCAUGAGCAUCGCUGCACUGCCAGGAUCCUGAGCAAACUGUGCUCCUGCCUCCAUCCGAGCCUCCGUCAGGAGGAACCUGUGACAUUUUAGGAGCUGUGACAACGACAAGCGGCCUCCCCAGGCUGUGAGUCACCCUCCAGAGAAAGCAUCCCACCUCCUGCCUGCUGCAUGCAUCAGCAGAGGGUGCAAGCGUGGCUGCAUGGCCGGGCAUCGGUGUGCGGUGGCAAGAGGACACACAGAGAGAUGGUGGUGGCCCCAAUGUGAUGGAAGGGUGUCUAAAACUGGAGGCAGCAAGAGAACACGGUGGCACAGGUGUGGGGAGCAAGCUUUGCUCUUGCAUAGCUCGUGCUGCUGGUGAACCCCAAAAUACAACUGAUGUGGUCGCACGGGAAAGGAGGAGCAGAUGAUCUCGUGGUCAUGGGGCCAUGUUAUGGUCUCUGGGGCAGUUGGGUCCAUGGGAAGGUCUCCUGAUCCUGCAACGAGCUCCUGAUCCCUGGGAAGAUCCAUUGGCCCUUGGCAAAGCAUGGCCAAAGGGAACCCAGCCAAUAUUACCUACCUGCAAAGAUAAAAUCACAUACGUUCUCCCUCUGUGAUGUUUUCCAUAUUAAAAAUAUGUGUUUAUUUAAAGAAAA